ACCCCAGAUACAGACCCACCACUACCACAGGAUGAGGGUUCUACUGUGGUCCCUGGAGUCAGGAGGAGACGCAGCAUGGAUGAGCCUCCAUACAUGGGGGGAGAGAGCAGCAGUCCAGACCCUCCAGUGUCUCCCAGUGUGUCUGAGCUGAGACUGGUGCUGCUGGGGAGGACUGGGGCUGGGAGGAGGGCAGCAGGAAACACCAUCCUGGGCAGAGAGGAGUUUGGGGCCCAGGACAGCCCCUCUGCAGUCACCCAGAGGAGCAGGAGGAGAGAGGGGGACGUGUGUGGGAGACGGCUGGUGCUGGUGGACACUCCAGACUGGUUCUGCCCUGGACUCUCUCUGGAGGACAUGAGACAGGAUGUGGGGCUGUGUGUCCGUCUGUCCGCCCCGGGACCCCACGCCUUCCUCCUGGUCGUACCAGUGGAGCCCUCUGAGGGGGAGGAGAGAGGAGCCAUGGAGAGAAUGGAGGACAUGUUUGGAGAGGGUUGUUGGGGACACACUGUCAUUCUGUUCACCCAUGAUGACAGUCUGAGAGAGCAGAGCAUGGAGGAGUUUCUCCAAACAGCAAGUCAGGACCUCCAGCAGCUUGUAGAGAAAUGUGGGAACAGGUACCACGUCCUCAACAUUAAGGACAGGGCCCAUGGCACUCAGGUCCCAGAGCUGCUGCACCAGGUAGAGGAGAUGGUGGCAGGAAACAGAGAGAGCUUCUACAGCAGUCAGAACUACCAGGAGGCAGAUGCCCAGGUCAGAGAGAUGGAGGGAAAGAUUCAGAGGGAGAGAGAGGAGAAGAUACAGAGGGAGGAGACAGAGAGGAAAGAGAAGUUUGAGACAGAGCUGCAGAACUCUCUGAAGAAGAUAGAGGGAGUGAUCCAGGAGCACGAGGGAGACAUCAGAACACUCAGCCAUCGAACAUCUGAACUGGAGAGACAGGUGAAGGAAGAGAGGGAUGAGGAGAAGAAGAGAGAGCUGGAGAGGGAGCUGAAGAGAGAGACUGACCGGAGAGAGGAGAUGGAGAGAAAGCUGGAGAGAUUUAGAGAGAAGAGAGAGAAUGAGAGGAGGGAGAGGGAGGAGAGACACAAGCAGGAGAUGGAGGAGUUCAGGGAGAACUAUGAAGGAGAGGCCAGAGUUGAAGCAGAGAGAAACCUGAUGAAGGUGGUCCUACCUGAGCUACAGAGGAGCAUUAUGAUCUCAUGCACAAAGAUGCAGAAAGAGUUCAACAGACAGAUGCAGGAGAUGAAUAGAGAGAUGCAGGAGAAGAAUAGAGAGAUAAAUAGACUUCAGCAUAAAAUAAUAGAUCUCAGUACUAAGUUUUUAGAUGAAGUCCAUGAAGUCAGUGCAUAGAACAAGUCUUACCUAGGACCAGAGGAGGGGGUGGAGGAAGUGGAAGAGGAGGAAGAAGCUACUGAUACAACUCCUUUCUAUAGAGGGGGGAUUGAACAGCUGACAUAGCCAGAGAGCUGAACUUGAUUCAUACUGUGAUGAUGUCUGUAAAUAUCCUUUUACUCUGUGUAUCUGCUGUUAAACUUCAGACAAAUUCAGGAGAAGGAUAGACAGAUACAGGAGAAGGCUAGAGAGAUGAAGGUGAAGGAUAUAGAGAUAGAGAAACUGAUGCAACGACUGAUGGAUCUCAGUGGUCAGUUUAUAGAGGAGGUCAAUGAAAUCAGUGAAUGGAAGAGCCCUCAAACAUAGAGGAGGAGAUGACAAGAGAGGAGAGGAGGGCAAGAGUGUAGAUGAGGGGAGAAGGAUUUGGAUAUAUAGAGACUUAAGAACAAACUGAGAGAUCUCAGUGAAGACUUCUUGACAAAGGUCCACGCUGUAAGAGAAGGUAGUAAAAGGAGCUCUCCUCACAUGUAGAGAAACAGAGGGAGGAAGUCAGAGACUUCAUUCAUACAAACAUUGUCAGCUAUAAUUGCUGAAUUUUACUGUGAUCAUUAUGACAUAUUUGUGUUAAGAUGUCAUGCAGCAGAUCACCACUAACUGAUUUGCCUCCCAUGGAGGUUCAUGGUUUUAAAAGUUUGUGUUUUUUUGUUUCCUCAUCAAA
Osmerus eperlanus (European smelt) is the source of this 2044-nucleotide RNA transcript. It is a transcript of the gene named GTPase IMAP family member 9-like, with no coding region annotated. The record is from RefSeq and is a predicted model, not a curated record. NCBI's taxonomy places the organism in Eukaryota, Metazoa, Chordata, Actinopteri, Osmeriformes, Osmeridae. The transcript is spliced from 3 exons.